RNAcentral lists this ribosomal RNA (505 nucleotides) under uncultured bacterium. RNAcentral describes it as "partial 16S ribosomal RNA". It matches the Rfam family "Bacterial small subunit ribosomal RNA", at positions 28 to 507 of the family's 1533-position model. The record is from RNAcentral.
GACGAACGCUGGCGGCGUGCCUAAUACAUGCAAGUAGAACGCACAGUUUAUACCGUAGCUUGCUACACCAUAGACUGUGAGUUGCGAACGGGUGAGUAACGCGUAGGUAACCUGCCUGGUAGCGGGGGAUAACUAUUGGAAACGAUAGCUAAUACCGCAUAAUAUUGAUUAUUGCAUGAUAAUUGAUUGAAAGAUGCUAUUGCAUCACUACCAGAUGGACCUGCGUUGUAUUAGCUAGUAGGUGAGGUAACGGCUCACCUAGGCGACGAUACAUAGCCGACCUGAGAGGGUGAUCAGCCACACUGGGACUGAGACACGGCCCAGACUCCUACGGGAGGCAGCAGUAGGGAAUCUUCGGCAAUGGACGAAAGGCUGACCGAGCAACGCCGCGUGAGUGAAGAAGGUUUUCGGAUCGUAAAGCUCUGUUGUAAGAGAAGAACGGGUGUGAGAGUGGAAAGUUCACACUGUGACGGUAUCUUACCAGAAAGGGACGGCUAACUACGUG